This is a small nucleolar RNA of Dendrobium catenatum, 107 nucleotides long. NCBI's taxonomy places the organism in Eukaryota, Viridiplantae, Streptophyta, Magnoliopsida, Asparagales, Orchidaceae. The record is from RefSeq and is a predicted model, not a curated record.
AAGGCAUGACGAGGGAACUUUCUAAGCAUAUCUUUGAAUCUCCCUGAACUCUCAUAAAUAAAUUCUCUUUCUAAUUGAGUAAAAAAAGUAAAGUCAUUUCUAAGCUU